AAUAAAAAAAAACUCUGGUUCCUGUGUCCAAGGUUUCACCGUCCGUCUUAUUGAAAAAAAUUAAAAAGAUAAGUCACGCAUAAAAUAUUAAUUAUGUUUUAUCAUCUAACAAUAAUAAAAAUACUAAUUAUAAAAAACUUUCAUAUAAGACGGACAGUCAAAUGUUAGACACGGAAACUCAGGUUUGUCUUCUUU
Non-coding RNA from Oryza meridionalis, 195 nucleotides. The record is from Rfam. Lineage: Eukaryota; Viridiplantae; Streptophyta; Magnoliopsida; Poales; Poaceae.